GAUGAACGCUGGCGGCGUGCCUAAUACAUGCCAGUCGAGCGAACAGACGAGGAGCUUGCUCCUCUGACGUUAGCGGCGGACGGGUGAGUAACACGUGGAUAACCUACCUAUAAGACUGGGAUAACUUCGGGAAACCGGAGCUAAUACCGGAUAAUAAAUUGAACCGCAUGGUUCAAUAGUGAAAGACGGUUUUGCUGUCACUUAUAGAUGGAUCCGCGCCGCAUUAGCUAGUUGGUAAGGUAACGGCUUACCAAGGCAACGAUGCGUAGCCGACCUGAGAGGGUGAUCGGCCACACUGGAACUGAGACACGGUCCAGACUCCUACGGGAGGCAGCAGUAGGGAAUCUUCCGCAAUGGGCGAAAGCCUGACGGAGCAACGCCGCGUGAGUGAUGAAGGUCUUCGGAUCGUAAAACUCUGUUAUUAGGGAAGAACAAAUGUGUAAGUAACUAUGCACGUCUUGACGGUACCUAAUCAGAAAGCCACGGCUAACUACGUG
RNAcentral lists this ribosomal RNA (497 nucleotides) under uncultured bacterium. RNAcentral's name for it is "partial 16S ribosomal RNA". It matches the Rfam family "Bacterial small subunit ribosomal RNA", at positions 28 to 507 of the family's 1533-position model. The record is from RNAcentral.